Molecule: ribosomal RNA, 497 nt
Filed under: uncultured bacterium
Lineage: Bacteria
Description: partial 16S ribosomal RNA
Rfam family: Bacterial small subunit ribosomal RNA
Source: RNAcentral
GACGAACGCUGGCGGCGUGCCUAAUACAUGCAAGUAGAACGCUGAAGAGAGGAGCUUACUCUUCUUGGAUGAGUUGCGAACGGGUGAGUAACGCGUAGGUAACCUGCCUUGUAGCGGGGGAUAACUAUUGGAAAGGAUAGCUAAUACCGCAUAACAAUGGAUGACACAUGUCAUUUAUUUGAAAGGGGCAAUUGCUCCACUACAAGAUGGACCUGCGUUGUAUUAGCUAGUAGGUGAGGUAAUGGCCCACCUAGGCGACGAUACAUAGCCGACCUGAGAGGGUGAUCGGCCACACUGGGACUGAGACACGGCCCAGACUCCUACGGGAGGCAGCAGUAGGGAAUCUUCGGCAAUGGGGGCAACCCUGACCGAGCAACGCCGCGUGAGUGAAGAAGGUUUUCGGAUCGUAAAGCUCUGUUGUAAGUCAAGAACGGGUGUGAGAGUGGAAAGUUCACACUGUGACGGUAGCUUACCAGAAAGGGACGGCUAACUACGUG